RNAcentral lists this long non-coding RNA (317 nucleotides) under Malus domestica (apple). RNAcentral describes it as "long non-coding RNA (MDOM_LNC001745)". The record is from RNAcentral. Lineage: Eukaryota; Viridiplantae; Streptophyta; Magnoliopsida; Rosales; Rosaceae.
CUUUGAUGGGCAUUCUAUGUUCCACCAAGGUUGGAUCUAACCCUGGCAUCUCGGUAUAAUGCCAAGCAAAACAGUCUUUGAAUUCUUGCAAAAGACAAACAAUCCUUGCCCGAUCAUCAACCCCCAUUAAACCACUGAUAUGUAUUGGUCUCGGAUCCUCCUCUGUUCCUAAAUUAAUAACUUCCAGAGGAUCCUGGACUUCUGGUGGUGGCUUAUCCGGUUCUGUACACAAAAAUUCGACCAGCUCCGGGCUCUCGGGCAAGUCGUCUGGCCCGUCUAGAUCAUAUAUGCACUCGGCCAUUUGAAUGGCCCUAUCC